AGGAUUAUAGUUUAUAAAAAUAUUUGAUUUGCACUCAAAAGAUAUUGACUUCAAUUUAUCUU
This 62-nucleotide transfer RNA is filed under the name Cethosia biblis. RNAcentral's name for it is "tRNA-Ala". The record is from RNAcentral. Lineage: Eukaryota; Metazoa; Arthropoda; Insecta; Lepidoptera; Nymphalidae.